Molecule: ribosomal RNA, 463 nt
Filed under: uncultured bacterium
Lineage: Bacteria
Description: bacterial SSU rRNA
Rfam family: Bacterial small subunit ribosomal RNA
Source: RNAcentral
GGACCCGCACAAGCAGUGGAGUAUGUGGUUUAAUUCGAAGCAACGCGAAGAACCUUACCAGGGCUUGACAUCCCGCGCUAUCUCAAGAGAUUGGGAGUUCCCUUCGGGGACGCGGUGACAGGUGGUGCAUGGUUGUCGUCAGCUCGUGUCGUGAGAUGUUGGGUUAAGUCCCGCAACGAGCGCAACCCUUACCGUCAGUUGCUACAUUAAGUUGAGCACUCUGGCAGGACUGCCGUUGAUAAAACGGAGGAAGGUGGGGACGACGUCAAAUCAUCAUGCCCCUUAUGUCCUGGGCGACACACGUACUACAAUGGCAAAAAACAGAGGGAAGCAAGGCAGCAAUGCGGAGCAAAUCCCAAAAAAUUGUCUCAGUUCAGAUUGCAGGCUGAAACUCGCCUGUAUGAAGUCGGAAUUGCUAGUAAUCGCGGAUCAGCAUGCCGCGGUGAAUACGUUCCCGGGUCUU